This 637-nucleotide ribosomal RNA is filed under the name Penicillium sublateritium. Its description in RNAcentral is "eukaryotic LSU rRNA". It matches the Rfam family "Eukaryotic large subunit ribosomal RNA", at positions 1 to 649 of the family's 3401-position model. Lineage: Eukaryota; Fungi; Ascomycota; Eurotiomycetes; Eurotiales; Aspergillaceae. The record is from RNAcentral.
AGGUUGACCUCGGAUCAGGUAGGGAUACCCGCUGAACUUAAGCAUAUCAAUAAGCGGAGGAAAAGAAACCAACAGGGAUUGCCUCAGUAACGGCGAGUGAAGCGGCAAGAGCUCAAAUUUGAAAGCUGGCCCCCCCGGGGCCCGCGUUGUAAUUUGCAGAGGAUGCUUCGGGAGCGGCCCCCAUCUAAGUGCCCUGGAACGGGCCGUCAUAGAGGGUGAGAAUCCCGUCUGGGAUGGGGUGCCCGCGCCCGUGUGAAGCUCCUUCGACGAGUCGAGUUGUUUGGGAAUGCAGCUCUAAAUGGGUGGUAAAUUUCAUCUAAAGCUAAAUAUUGGCCGGAGACCGAUAGCGCACAAGUAGAGUGAUCGAAAGAUGAAAAGCACUUUGAAAAGAGAGUUAAACAGCACGUGAAAUUGUUGAAAGGGAAGCGCUUGCGACCAGACUCGCCCGCGGGGUUCAGCCGGCACUCGUGCCGGUGUACUUCCCCGCGGGCGGGCCAGCGUCGGUUUGGGCGGCCGGUCAAAGGCCCUCGGAAUGUAACGCCCCCCGGGGCGUCUUAUAGCCGAGGGUGCCAUGCGGCCAGCCCGGACCGAGGAACGCGCUUCGGCUCGGACGCUGGCAUAAUGGUCGUAAGCGACC